GGGACAUAAGUCCUUACCAAACCGUUGCAAACUCCGAAUACCCUGAAGUUCAAUCGCGGGAGACACACGGUGGGAGCUAAAUUUCAUCGUGAAGAGGGAAACAACCCAGACCGCCAGCUAAGGUCCCUAAAUCAUCGCUAAGUGGUAAACGAUGUGGAAAGUCAUAGACAGCCAGGAUGUUGGCUUAGAAGCAGCCAUCAUUUAAAGAAAGCGUAAUAGCUCACUAGUCGAGUCGGCCUGCGCGGAAGAUGUAACGGGGCUAAGCCAGUCACCGAAGCUGCGGAUAUCCUUUAUUGGAUAUGGUAGGAGAGCGUUCUGUAAGCCUGCGAAGGUGUCUUGUAAAGGAUGCUGGAGGUAUCAGAAGUGCGAAUGCUGACAUGAGUAACGAUAAUGCAGGUGAAAAACCUGCACGCCGUAAGCCCAAGGUUUCCUGCGCAACGAUUUUCGGCGCAGGGUAAGUCUGAUCCUAAGGCGA
Molecule: ribosomal RNA, 475 nt
Filed under: Aureoumbra lagunensis
Lineage: Eukaryota; Pelagophyceae; Sarcinochrysidales; Sarcinochrysidaceae
Description: partial Bacterial large subunit ribosomal RNA
Rfam family: Bacterial large subunit ribosomal RNA
Source: RNAcentral